This 301-nucleotide ribosomal RNA is filed under the name uncultured bacterium. Its description in RNAcentral is "bacterial SSU rRNA". It matches the Rfam family "Bacterial small subunit ribosomal RNA", at positions 505 to 805 of the family's 1533-position model. The record is from RNAcentral.
GUGCCAGCAGUCGCGGUAAUACGGAGGGGGUUAGCGUUGUUUGGAAUUACUGGGCGUAAAGCGCGCGUAGGCGGAUUGGAAAGUUGGGGGUGAAAUCCCAGGGCUCAACCCUGGAACUGCCUCCAAAACUUCCAGUCUGGAGUUCGAGAGAGGUGAGUGGAAUUCCGAGUGUAGAGGUGAAAUUCGUAGAUAUUCGGAGGAACACCAGUGGCGAAGGCAGCCCCCUGGGUUAACACUGACGCUCAUGCACGAAAGCGUGGGGAGCAAACAGGAUUAGAUACCCUGGUAGUCCACGCCCUAA